AUGAAGAAAUCCACUCAUUUCGAGUGGAAUGACCAAGCAGACCAAGCCUUCCAUGAGUUGAAGAAGAUGCUGACCACUCCACCUGUCCUGGCGGCGCCGACUGAGAAGGAUCCCAUGCUCCUCUACAUAGCCGCGACUAGCCGAGUGGUCAGUACAGUCAUCGUGGUCCAGCGCCCCGAAGAAGGCCGAGCCCAGCUAGUCCAGAGGCCGGUAUAUUAUUUAAGCAAAGUACUAUCCACCUCAAAGCAAAACUACCCGCACUACCAGAAGAUGUGCUAUGGAGUGUACUUUGCCGCCAAGAAGCUGAAGCCCUACUUUCAAGAGCAUCCCAUCACGGUCGUAUGCACCGCCCCGCUUGCCGAGAUCAUAGGCAGCCGGGAUGCAUCCGGCCGGGUGGCCAAAUGGGCCAUUGCGCUGGCGCCUUACACAAUCUUCUACCAUCCCCGCACCGCCAUCAAGUCCCAAGCAUUGGCCGACUUCCUCGUCGACUGGGCCGAGACCCAGUACCUACCGCCGGCUCCCGACUCUACUCAUUGGCGGAUGCACUUCGACGGGUCCAAGAUGCGCACCGGCUUGGGAGCCGACAUCGUCCUCACCUCUCCCAAAGGCGACAAGCUCAGAUACACGUUGCAAAUCCACUUUGCCGCCUCCAACGACGUGGCUGAAUACGAGGUGCUCAUACACGGGCUCCGGCUAGCCAAAGAGCUCGGCAUACGCCGGGUCCUGUGUUAUGGCGACUCGGACUUGGUGGUCCAGCAGUCAUCUAGCGACUGGGACGCCAAGGAUGCAAACAUGGCGAGCUAUCGAUUCCUCGUCCAGCAGAUCAGUGGGUACUUCGAAGGGUGCGAGUUCCUUCACGUGCCACGGGCCGACAACGACCAGGCAGACGCCCUAGCACGAAGCACUUACCCCGGCUCUCAGAUAGAUCAGCAUUCUUCUGGGUCAGCUCCCGAGCCUGGGAGUUGA
This 966-nucleotide ribosomal RNA is filed under the name Triticum aestivum (bread wheat). RNAcentral describes it as "partial small subunit ribosomal RNA". Lineage: Eukaryota; Viridiplantae; Streptophyta; Magnoliopsida; Poales; Poaceae. The record is from RNAcentral.